This 315-nucleotide unclassified non-coding RNA is filed under the name fungal sp. RNAcentral's name for it is "partial internal transcribed spacer region". The stretch from base 1 to 46 matches the Rfam family "Eukaryotic small subunit ribosomal RNA", at positions 1786 to 1831 of the family's 1831-position model. The record is from RNAcentral. Lineage: Eukaryota; Fungi.
AAGUCGUAACAAGGUUUCCGUAGGUGAACCUGCGGAAGGAUCAUUACCACGUUUCCACGUAUCCACGCACUGAGCACUGUUUUCGUUUUCUCCUCCUGCUCCGGCAGGAGUCCCCCGGGUGUACUCUUGUCUCGACCGAAUAGUUGAGAUGUUGCGCCCUCUACUCACCCCUUUUACCCCUUUUUUGCUAGUUGACUUUGAAAAAUGACACUGCCUGUGUUUGCUGCUUCGGCUGCUGCGCUUGCUGUGCCUCGUUUUCUCUAUUUAUUUAUUGAAACGUCAUUACAACUCUUAGCAAUGGAUAUCUAGGUUCUC